Molecule: ribosomal RNA, 846 nt
Filed under: Escherichia coli
Lineage: Bacteria; Pseudomonadati; Pseudomonadota; Gammaproteobacteria; Enterobacterales; Enterobacteriaceae
Description: partial 23S ribosomal RNA
Rfam family: Bacterial large subunit ribosomal RNA
Source: RNAcentral
UCUGGAAAGGCGCGCGAUACAGGGUGACAGCCCCGUACACAAAAAUGCACAUACUGUGAGCUCGAUGAGUAGGGCGGGACACGUGGUAUCCUGUCUGAAUAUGGGGGGACCAUCCUCCAAGGCUAAAUACUCCUGACUGACCGAUAGUGAACCAGUACCGUGAGGGAAAGGCGAAAAGAACCCCGGCGAGGGGAGUGAAAAAGAACCUGAAACCGUGUACGUACAAGCAGUGGGAGCACGCUUAGGCGUGUGACUGCGUACCUUUUGUAUAAUGGGUCAGCGACUUAUAUUCUGUAGCAAGGUUAACCGAAUAGGGGAGCCGAAGGGAAACCGAGUCUUAACUGGGCGUUAAGUUGCAGGGUAUAGACCCGAAACCCGGUGAUCUAGCCAUGGGCAGGUUGAAGGUUGGGUAACACUAACUGGAGGACCGAACCGACUAAUGUUGAAAAAUUAGCGGAUGACUUGUGGCUGGGGGUGAAAGGCCAAUCAAACCGGGAGAUAGCUGGUUCUCCCCGAAAGCUAUUUAGGUAGCGCCUCGUGAAUUCAUCUCCGGGGGUAGAGCACUGUUUCGGCAAGGGGGUCAUCCCGACUUACCAACCCGAUGCAAACUGCGAAUACCGGAGAAUGUUAUCACGGGAGACACACGGCGGGUGCUAACGUCCGUCGUGAAGAGGGAAACAACCCAGACCGCCAGCUAAGGUCCCAAAGUCAUGGUUAAGUGGGAAACGAUGUGGGAAGGCCCAGACAGCCAGGAUGUUGGCUUAGAAGCAGCCAUCAUUUAAAGAAAGCGUAAUAGCUCACUGGUCGAGUCGGCCUGCGCGGAAGAUGUAACGGGGCUAAACCAUG